GGAAAACUCUGCCUACUUUGCAUGUUUAUUUAUUUCUCCUUCUUAGUUAGACUUCCCAAAGUCUAGAGUAUGUGGCAGUCUCUCCAGAAAACAACUGGGUAUGGUUCUUCUAAAGUCAUUGGUGCCUCUGGGUUUACACUGAAUAUGAUGCAAGAAGAGUCUAUCAAUAUGGGGAAUUCAGUGAAAGGAGUAAAUCUUGGCUUUCUGACUCCUAACCUGUUUUCAUCCAGACAUCCAUACCCCACUGCUGCAGAACUGAUUCAAACAAUUUCAGAGGAUGUAACUAAACCACCUGUGGUUUACCAUUGAUCUUUACCAUAAAUCAGAAGAAUGAUGAAAAUUGUGGAAAAGGUGUUCUCCUUUGGGAAAAAUGCCUUCUUUUCCACUGGAGUUGAAGAUCAAAUCCUCACUGGAUCAAGUCCUUGGACAAAAGUUGUGAUGGUAUAAAUUGAAAUGUGAUUGCUUUAAAUCCUACAAUUAUUGUUAAACAUAUAUAAUCAUACAUAUACGUACUACAUAUAUGUUUCUUGUGUGUAUAGAUAACGAGAGUUUAGAAACAAAGAAAGCAGUCCUCAAAACGCACUACAAUAUAUGACUAUUUCUAUAGCAAUUUGUUUUGCUUUGAAUGACAUAUGAAUGCUUCCUUAGAGUAGCCAUAUUAUUAUAAUGACUCUUCUGAUGUUUGUAAAUUAUGCUAAUAAUUAUCCUUUUUACAAGCAAACAUAAAAAUUCAGCACUGUGUUAACACUGUGGUUAAUACAGAGAAGGGAUUUCUAAGACAUACAGGUUUUAAUUUACUGCUUUUUUCCUCUCACUUUAUUGUACUUACCUUCCUUUAGAUAAAGCAGUACAAAAAUUUGCUAAUUAUUUUUCUCACUGCAAUAUGUUUCUAGUGCCACCUUUUUGUUUUUGUCCAGAUUUCUUUAUGGAAGCAAUGUUUCUGAAAAUGGUAUUCUUACAAGUUAAUAAGAAAGGUAUUACCUUAAUCAUAUGUAGUUUCUUCUGUGAAAUCAAGAUGAAAGAAAAAUAUUUGAGGAGUUGACAGCUUCUAUAUUUUUGUGUUUCCUUGGACAGAGCUCCUGCUGUUGCACAGCUCUCAAUGUAAAUGGUUUGCUAGAAAAACAGUGGUGUUUUCUUUGAAUUUUAUUUCAUUUGGACUUGAUCAUGCCUCUGCUUCCAGAUCUACCGAGAUUAAAAGUGCAUCUGAAUUAAUGUCAGCUUUAGAUUUCUAUUACAAUGUCAGUAGCUUGAAAUCUAUUAUAUUGAUGUCACAUGUAUCUAGUAAAGUAGGAACACAAGUCUUGGAAUAGAGAUUUUUUAGAGAUCUGACCUGUUUUUCUUCUUUUCUGUAA
RNAcentral lists this long non-coding RNA (1352 nucleotides) under Chloebia gouldiae (Gouldian finch). RNAcentral's name for it is "Erythrura gouldiae (Gouldian finch) lncRNA (ENSEGOG00005005333.1)". The record is from RNAcentral. Lineage: Eukaryota; Metazoa; Chordata; Aves; Passeriformes; Passeridae.